This 1044-nucleotide ribosomal RNA is filed under the name Triticum aestivum (bread wheat). Its description in RNAcentral is "partial small subunit ribosomal RNA". Lineage: Eukaryota; Viridiplantae; Streptophyta; Magnoliopsida; Poales; Poaceae. The record is from RNAcentral.
AUGAGCAUGGCGGCCAUGAGAUGCCUCAGACCAGGCGGCGCUCGUCGCCGGCAGUGCCCUCUCCUCGCCGCCUUCUGCUCCUCGCUCGUCGACGGGCUCGCGCACCUGGAGGCCACGCUGUCCGCCGAAGAUGAUGACGGCGGUGGCGGGUCCGCGGUGUCGAUGAGGUGGUGCGCCGACGCCAUGCGCCUGGUGAGGCGGAUGCAGCGGGACCUGCUGGCCGUCUUCAGGAGCGCCGACGCGCGGGCCGACCCCUGCGGCGGCGAGGACUGGCUGGAGCAGUACAUGCAGGAGACGGCGGCGCUGCUGGACUUCUGCAACGCGUUCAAGUCCGCCGUGUCGCGGAUGCACCGCUACUGCAUGGUGGUGGACUUCGCCGCGCAGGUGGGCUGCGCCGGCGCCGGGGGUGUCGCCGCCUCGCUCGUUGCUGAGAGCGCCGGGCCGCCGAAGGAGACGGACGCGCCGUCCUCGCCGGCCGCCGCCGUCCGCGCUAAGCUGUCGGACGUGAAGGCAGUGGUGAGCGAGGCGGAGCGGCUGGGGGGAAAGAUCAUCUCCAGCUCCACCGGAAGCGGCAGCAUGGUCCUCGUCACGCUCGUCGCCAAGAUCACAAUGGCCGUCGUGGCCACCUCCGUGCUCCACGCGCUCACCCACGCCUCACCCCCUUCCCUCCUCGACGACGACGUCGGCGUCGGCGGCGCGCACCCGCGCAGCAGCACGCUCGCCCGCGCCGCCGUCCCAGAGCAGCUGCGGCCGUGGCGCGAGUCGCUGUCGGCGAUCAACGACCGUGUGGCGGCGCUGCCGGCGAGCAUCGCGGAGCACGAGAGUGUCGUCACGGCGGUGAGGGACAUGAUCGGCGGCAAGACGGAAGAGUCCGAGGAUCAUGUGGAGCUGCUGAGGACGAGGUCCGGCGAGCUCCGGGAGGGGGUGGAGAUGUUCGACUGUGUUCUUGAUCAGGUCUUUGAUGAGGUGAUCAGGGGCAGGAAUGAGAUGCUGGGGAUCUUCAGAGACAAGGUCCUCACAAAACUGAAUCGGGGUGAAUUUUAA